UACGUAGGGUGCGAGCGUUAAUCGGAAUUACUGGGCGUAAAGCGUGCGCAGGCGGCUUUGCAAGACAGAGGUGAAAUCCCCGGGCUCAACCUGGGAACUGCCUUUGUGACUGCAAGGCUAAGUACGGCAGAGGGGGAUGGAAUCCGCGUGUAGCAGUGAAAUGCGUAGAUAUGCGGAGGAACACCGAUGGCGAAGGCAAUCCCCUGGGCCUGUACUGACGCUCAUGCACGAAAGCGUGGGGAGCAAACAGGAUUAGAUACCCUGGUAGUCAAGGGCG
This 277-nucleotide ribosomal RNA is filed under the name uncultured Burkholderiales bacterium. Its description in RNAcentral is "partial 16S ribosomal RNA". It matches the Rfam family "Bacterial small subunit ribosomal RNA", at positions 524 to 802 of the family's 1533-position model. Lineage: Bacteria; Pseudomonadati; Pseudomonadota; Betaproteobacteria; Burkholderiales. The record is from RNAcentral.